This 554-nucleotide ribosomal RNA is filed under the name Kluyvera intermedia. RNAcentral's name for it is "partial 23S ribosomal RNA". It matches the Rfam family "Bacterial large subunit ribosomal RNA", at positions 949 to 1506 of the family's 2925-position model. The record is from RNAcentral. Lineage: Bacteria; Pseudomonadati; Pseudomonadota; Gammaproteobacteria; Enterobacterales; Enterobacteriaceae.
GCAAACUACGAAUACCGGAGAAUGUUAUCACGGGAGACACACGGCGGGUGCUAACGUCCGUCGUGAAGAGGGAAACAACCCAGACCGCCAGCUAAGGUCCCAAAGUCAUGGUUAAGUGGGAAACGAUGUGGGAAGGCACAGACAGCCAGGAUGUUGGCUUAGAAGCAGCCAUCAUUUAAAGAAAGCGUAAUAGCUCACUGGUCGAGUCGGCCUGCGCGGAAGAUGUAACGGGGCUAAACCAUGCACCGAAGCUGCGGCAGCGACACUAUGUGUUGUUGGGUAGGGGAGCGUUCUGUAAGCCUGCGAAGGUGUGCUGUGAGGCAUGCUGGAGGUAUCAGAAGUGCGAAUGCUGACAUAAGUAACGAUAAAGCGGGUGAAAAGCCCGCUCGCCGGAAGACCAAGGGUUCCUGUCCAACGUUAAUCGGGGCAGGGUGAGUCGACCCCUAAGGCGAGGCCGAAAGGCGUAGUCGAUGGGAAACAGGUUAAUAUUCCUGUACUUGGUGUUACUGCGAAGGGGGGACGGAGAAGGCUAUGUUAGCCGGGCGACGGUUGUC